Molecule: ribosomal RNA, 427 nt
Filed under: uncultured bacterium
Lineage: Bacteria
Description: bacterial SSU rRNA
Rfam family: Bacterial small subunit ribosomal RNA
Source: RNAcentral
ACUCCUACGGGAGGCAGCAGUGGGGAAUAUUGCACAAUGGGCGCAAGCCUGAUGCAGCCAUGCCGCGUGUAUGAAGAAGGCCUUCGGGUUGUAAAGUACUUUCAGCAGUGAGGAAGGUGGAUAUGUUAAUAGCAUAUUCAUUUGACGUUAGCUGCAGAAGAAGCACCGGCUAACUCCGUGCCAGCAGCCGCGGUAAUACGGAGGGUGCGAGCGUUAAUCGGAAUUACUGGGCGUAAAGCGCAUGCAGGUGGUUUGUUAAGUCAGAUGUGAAAGCCCGGGGCUCAACCUCGGAAUUGCAUUUGAAACUGGCAAACUAGAGUACUGUAGAGGGGGUAGAAUUUCAGGUGUAGCGGUGAAAUGCGUAGAGAUCUGAAGGAAUACCGGUGGCGAAGGCGGCCCCCUGGACAGAUACUGACACUCAGAUGCG